Molecule: ribosomal RNA, 593 nt
Filed under: Alternaria sp. U11.1
Lineage: Eukaryota; Fungi; Ascomycota; Dothideomycetes; Pleosporales; Pleosporaceae
Description: eukaryotic LSU rRNA
Rfam family: Eukaryotic large subunit ribosomal RNA
Source: RNAcentral
AACUUUUGACCUCGGAUCAGGUAGGGAUACCCGCUGAACUUAAGCAUAUCAAUAAGCGGAGGAAAAGAAACCAACAGGGAUUGCCCUAGUAACGGCGAGUGAAGCGGCAACAGCUCAAAUUUGAAAUCUGGCUCUUUUAGAGUCCGAGUUGUAAUUUGCAGAGGGCGCUUUGGCUUUGGCAGCGGUCCAAGUUCCUUGGAACAGGACGUCACAGAGGGUGAGAAUCCCGUACGUGGUCGCUGGCUAUUGCCGUGUAAAGCCCCUUCGACGAGUCGAGUUGUUUGGGAAUGCAGCUCUAAAUGGGAGGUACAUUUCUUCUAAAGCUAAAUAUUGGCCAGAGACCGAUAGCGCACAAGUAGAGUGAUCGAAAGAUGAAAAGCACUUUGGAAAGAGAGUCAAACAGCACGUGAAAUUGUUGAAAGGGAAGCGCUUGCAGCCAGACUUGCUUACAGUUGCUCAUCCGGGUUUCUACCCGGUGCACUCUUCUGUAGGCAGGCCAGCAUCAGUUUGGGCGGUAGGAUAAAGGUCUCUGUCACGUACCUCCUUUCGGGGAGGCCUUAUAGGGGAGACGACAUACUACCAGCCUGGACUGA